Molecule: long non-coding RNA, 695 nt
Filed under: Capsicum annuum
Lineage: Eukaryota; Viridiplantae; Streptophyta; Magnoliopsida; Solanales; Solanaceae
Description: long non-coding RNA (CANN_LNC007935)
Source: RNAcentral
UCUUCUUCAACAACCCCUACCCCACAUUCCUCCUCCUCCUCCUCCUUCUUACAGAGACUUGCGGGAGGCUUGACCUGGAUAGGCAUGGAGGAUUCUGAGCAGAGUGGUCCGGAGAAUAAGAAUGACGAUCCCGUUUAUCCCCUCCCAAAAUUACCAUUGACGGACUCCAAAAUUACAAUAUUAAUUCCACCAACGAUCAGCAUUGACGGACACAUCCUUCAAACCACCGCCUCCUCAAUUUCUAUUUAGAAUACCAUUAAAGACCUUCAUUUCCACCAUUUUUUUUUAGAUUCAUCACCAUUCAUGGUGAAACUUCUUUCAAUAUAAAAUGCUCAACGCAAUGCACAUAAAAACACCGCACUCAUAAUUCAAAGGUUGCCUCAACAAGAUUAUUCAUAGAUGAGAUAUACAAUCGUAUAGCAGAAAGAAAAGUCGCCGAAAUUUAAUUUUUUCGAUGAGAGUGGAAUGAUUUUAAUCACAAUUUUUUUUUGAUGAGAGUGGAACUCCCACACUUGCUCCUAAAAAAUGGGUAUGAAUUGAUAUUCUUAAUGAGCCCACAUUUUUAUACAUCUAAUGAAUUUGUUAAUGAUGAAUUUUUCUAAAGAAAUGAAUUUGAUUGUUGAGGCAGUGAAGGGGAGGAGCUAAAGGGCUAUGGCUAGGAAAAGAAGGGAAGGAUGGGGGAUUUUUUUUUUUUC